This 844-nucleotide long non-coding RNA is filed under the name Aotus nancymaae (Ma's night monkey). RNAcentral's name for it is "lncRNA (ENSANAG00000038541.1)". The record is from RNAcentral. Lineage: Eukaryota; Metazoa; Chordata; Mammalia; Primates; Aotidae.
CAUGCCUAUAAUUCCAGUUAUUCGGGAUGCUGAGGCAGGAGAAUCACUUGAACCUGGGAAGUGGAGGUUGCAGUGAGCCGAGAUGGUGCCACUGCACUCCAGCCUGGGCGUGAGACUCCAUCUCAAAAAAAAAAAAAAAAAAGUCAGUACAAAUCCCAGAUGUACUGAGUCAAAUUGAGUGAGAACUUCUGUAAGUGAGCCGAGGCACGGGGAGCAGGAAGACAUUCCCAGCUGGUGUGGACACGCCUGGGCCGAAGAACUUCUGCUUUAAAUACAUGCAGCUCACAACACCUCCGGGCCCAGUGACAGUAACUGUGUGGGUGUGUUACUGUUCUGUAGAGACAUAUUGAACUAAUUAUUAUAUAAUUAUACUGUGAUGAUUAAUAAUAUGGUUAAUUUUACUAAUUGUGUAUAUUCUUAUUUUAUAGAAACUUAAGCAAGAUAUCAAGGCGUUUUGUUCUUCUUCUCGGGCACUCUUAAGAGAUUAUCAGGAUGCGUUUCAGGACUGCGUUUCUGAAUAGUGACUGCUGUGCAGAGAACGCCACGGAGCAGCGAGACGCUGCGAGCGUGCCAGUCAAAGGUGAUGCACCUGGAGCGGGCCUUGCAGGACGUCAGCGCACGUCACCAGCUGGAGAGGCAAAGGAGGAAGGUCCUGCACAACAGCCUGCUGCUGGGCGCAGGUGUCGUGGGAGACCCACGAGGGACACGCAGAAGCCCCUCUCGGGAGGGUGCUGGGCAGGAAGGACAGCGGGGCAGCCUGGCCAGACGGCAGAGGGGCAGAGCCACGGCGGCUGUGACUGGUGUCCCCUUAACCCAGGCGGCGAUGGCAGCUGGAGGAGGGGUG